This 499-nucleotide ribosomal RNA is filed under the name uncultured bacterium. Its description in RNAcentral is "partial 16S ribosomal RNA". It matches the Rfam family "Bacterial small subunit ribosomal RNA", at positions 899 to 1397 of the family's 1533-position model. The record is from RNAcentral.
ACUCAAAGGAAUUGACGGGGGCCCGCACAAGCGGCGGAGCAUGCGGAUUAAUUCGAUGCAACGCGAAGAACCUUACCAAGGCUUGACAUGCACUGGAAUGCUUCAGAGAUGAAGAACUCGUUGGAUACCGGUGUGCAGGUGGUGCAUGGUUGUCGUCAGCUCGUGUCGUGAGAUGUUGGGUUAAGUCCCGCAACGAGCGCAACCCUUGUCGCAUGUUGCCAGCGGUUCGGCCGGGGACUCAUGUGAGACUGCCGGGGUUAACUCGGAGGAAGGUGGGGAUGACGUCAAAUCAUCAUGCCCCUUAUGUCUUGGGCUUCACGCAUGCUACAAUGGCCGGUACAGUGGGUUGCGAUACUGUGAGGUGGAGCGAAUCCCUUUAAAGCCGGUCUCAGUUCGGAUUGGGGUCUGCAACUCGACCUCAUGAAGUUGGAGUCGCUAGUAAUCGCAGAUCAGCAUUGCUGCGGUGAAUACGUUCCCGGGCCUUGUACACACCGCCCGU